Molecule: long non-coding RNA, 7701 nt
Organism: Oncorhynchus nerka (sockeye salmon)
Lineage: Eukaryota; Metazoa; Chordata; Actinopteri; Salmoniformes; Salmonidae
Exons: 9
Source: RefSeq, a predicted model, not a curated record
GUAAAGUGGCUGUUCCACUGGAUGUCUUAAGGUGAACGCACCAAUUUGUAAGUCGCUCUGGAUAAGAGCGUCUGCUAAAUGACUUAAAUGUAAUGUAAAUGUAGGUAGCGGUCCUGCUGCUAGGUUGUUGCCCUCCUACGGCCUCCUCCACGUCUCCUGAUGUACUGGCCUGUCUCCUGGUAGUGCCUCCAUGCUCUGGACACUACGCUGACAGACACAGCAAACCUUCUUGCCACAGCUCGCAUUGAUGUUCCAUCCUGGAUGAGCUGCACUACCUGAGCCACUUGUGUGGGUUGUAGACUCCGUCUCAUGCUACCACUAGAGUGAAAGCACCGCCAGCAUUCAAAAGUGACCAAAACAUCAGCCAGGAAGCAUAGGAACUGAGAAGUGGUCUGUGGUCCCCACCUGCAGAACCACUCCUUUAUUGGGGGUGUCUUGCCUAUAAUUUCCACCUGUUGUCUAUUCCAUUUGCACAACAGCAUGUGAAAUUUAUUGUCAAUCAGUGUUGCUUCCUAAGUGGACAGUUUGAUUUCACUGAAGUGUGAUUGACUUGGAGUUACAUUGUGUUGUUUAAGUGUUCCCUUUAUUUUUUGGAGCAGUGUAUUUGUAUGAACAUAACACGAUUCAACAACUGAGACAUAAACUGAACAAGUUCCACAGACAUGUGACUAACAGAAAUUGAAUAAUGUGUCCUUGAACAAAGGGGGGGUCAAAAUCAAAAGGUACAGUCAAUAUCUGGUGUGGCCACCAGCUGCAUUAAUUACUGCAGUGCAUCUCCUCCUCAUGGACUGCACCAGAUGUGCCAGUUCUUGCUGUGAGACCCCACUCUUCCCCACUCUUACCCCACUCUUCCACCAAGGCACCUGCAAGUUCCCGGACAUUUCUGGGGGGAAUGGCCCUAGCCCUCACCCUCCGAUCCAACAGGUUCCAGACCUGCUCAAUGGGCUCUUCGCUGGCCAUGGCAGAACACUGACAUUCCUGUCUUGCAGGAAAUCACACACAGAAUGAGCCGUAUGGCUGGUGGCAUUGUCAUGCUGGAGGGUCAUGUCAGGAUGAGCCUACAGGAAGGGUACCACAUGAGGGAGGAGGAUGUCUUCCCUGUAACGCACAGCGUUGAGAUUACCUGCAAUGACAACGAUGAUGCUGUGACACACCACCCCAGACCAUGACAGACCCUACACAUCUAAAUCGAUCCCACUCCAGAGUACAGGCCUCGGUGUAACGCUAAUUUCUUCGGCGAUAAACGCAAAUCCGACCAUCACCCCUGGUGAGACAGAACCGCAACUUAUCAGUGAAGAGCACUUUUUGUCAGUCCUGUCUGCUCCAGCGACGGUGGGUUUGUGCACACUGGUUGUUGCAGGUGAUGUCUGGUGAGGACCUGCGUUACAACAGGCCUACAAGCCCUCAGUCCAGCCUCUCUCAGCCUUUUGCAGACAGUCUGAGCACUGAUGGAGGGAUUGUGCGUUCCUGGUGUAACUCAGGCAGGUGUUGUUGCCAUCCUGUACCUGUCCCGCAGGUGUGAUGUUCUGAUGUACCGAUCCGGUGUUGAUACACCUGGUCUGCCACUGUGAGGACGAUCAGCUGUCCAUCCUGUCUCCCUGUAGCGCUGUCUUAGGCGUCACACAGUACGGACAUUGCAAUUUAUUGCUCUGGCCACAUCUGCAGUCCUUAUGCCUCCUUGCAGCAUGCCUAAGGCACGUUCACGCAGAUGAGCAGGGACCCUGGGGCAUCUUUCUUUUGGUGUUUUUCAGAAUCAAUAGAAAGGCCUCUUUAGUGUCCUAAGUUUUCAUUACUGUGACCUUAAUUGCCUACCGUCUGUAAGUUGUUAGUGUCUUAACGACCGUUCCACCGGUGCAUGUUCAUUAAUUGUUUAUGGUUCAUUGAACAAGCAUGGGAAACAGUGUUUAAACCCUUUACAAUAAAGAUCUGUGUAGUUAUUUGGAUUUUUAUUAAUUAUCUUUGAAAGACAGGGCCCUGAAAAAGAGACAUUUUCAUUUUUUACUGAGUUUAUUAUCACAUGACUGUAUUUGUCUAACUUCAGUUACCCUGACAAAACAAACCCAACACAAAUACUUCCUUCUCCAGCUGUGUUGUGCAGUUCUGUGCAGCUGGCACCCCAGACCUCCAGGUUUUGACCCAUAUAGUGAACCUUCUAGAGCACAGCCUGAGAGACAAUGUCAGCUCCUUUACUGAGUCUGAGAGCUUGCUGCACAACAGGUGAGGAGCAGGUGACAGAGACACGGGGAUCUCACAUCACACAGCUACAACAUAUGGCCACAACCAUAUCACAUUGCACACACUGUCGUGCUAACAUGCAGUUUAUCACACGGAAUGCUGACACAGUAAGACUGUUUCUUGCCUUUUAGCAUGGUAUCACUGUUUGUGGGGUUUAUUUCUAACAUUGCCGUCAGUAAGGUAUGUGUGCACACUUCUACUUUCUCUUGGACAGAUGACUAGCAAAAAUAAUUUGACAGUAGGAGGUCUCAUCUCUGUUUAAUGCUGAUGUUAUGCUAUGCUAAUCGUGCGAUGCUAUGCUAAAUGUGCGAUGCUAUGCUAAAUGUGCGAUGCUAUGCUAAAUGUGCGAUGCGAUGCUAAUUGUGCGAUGCGAUGCUAAUUGUGCGAUGCGAUGCUAAUUGUGCGAUGCGAUGCUAAUCGUGCGAUGCGAUGCUAAUCGUGCGAUGCGAUGCUAAUCGUGCGAUGCUAAUCGUGCGAUGCUAAUCGUGCGAUGCUAAUCGUGCGAUGCUAAUCGUGCUAAUUGUGCGAUGCGAUGCUAAUUGUGCGAUGCGAUGCUAAUUGUGCGAUGCGAUGCUAAUUGUGCGAUGCGAUGCUAAUCGUGCGAUGCGAUGCUAAUCGUGCGAUGGCAUGACAAUGUCAUGUGAUCUAAUGAGUCAUGUUGUCAUCCUGUGCUGGAGCAGAGAGUUGGAGGUGCCAGAGCAGAGCCUGCUACAGAAGGUGGAGGACCUCACAGCACACUCAGUCCUCCACUGUCCCAGCAUGCAGCGACUCCACGUACUCAGGGAGGAGGUGCGCUUCAUGUACCAGGAGAAGGAGCAUAGGAAUCGUGUGUGUGGAGGGAGAGGCUACAGUGCUGCCAGGCCCAGCUCCGGGCUAAAGAGAAGGAGAUGGGUUGCCAGUCUCAGUACUUUGAGCACUUUAAGAGCCAGCUGCAGCUCAAGUUCGGCCUGGCCAGAGACGAGGAGCAGGGCCUGCAGACCAGAGUCCACCAGCUGGAGAGACAUGUUCUGGAGAUGUCUGUAUCUUCAUCCACCAACAUAGCCACUGUCAACGCAGCUAGCUUCAACUAACCUGUCAUGGUGCCAACGGUACACAGAGUCCCAAAGACUGGCCCACCCAAGGGCGGAAAGAGAGGAGGAGGAUGGGGAGGGUGAGGAGGAAAAUACACAGUGGAGACGCUACGGACAGCACCUCCAGCAGAAGCAGGGAGAGGAUGAAAUAGACAUAGAGGAAGAAAGAGAGGGGGAGAGAGAGCGCGUGAGGGAGAGGGGGGUGAGGACAGACGGAGCGGCUUCAUCCUCAGCCUUCAGGAGGACCUCUGGGCUGUUGGAGGAGCAGGGGCUGGAGGAGCGGAGGGGGCUGUUGGAACAGCUGCAGGAUGCGCAGCAGAAUGGCCACUUCCUGUCGUGUAAGGUGGAGGAAAUGAGGACGGUGGUCCACAGGCUCCAGCUGAAUGAGAGCUCCAUGACUGAGGAGGUGGAGGAACUGCAAGAGGAGAACCAGAGACUGUAAGAGGCUCAGCCACACCCUGAGACAGAUCAACCACAGCCCGGGCUCUACUGACCCCCAUCUCUACCCCCAGCCCUAGCUCUGGUGCCAGCCCAGGGACUCCAGCCCCAGCCUGGCUACCGCCCUGCCAAACACCCCUGCCCUGGCUCAACCAGUCCCCUGCCACGUGGACAACACUGACCCAGUGAGUGAUGACAUUGAAGCUAAUGUGGAGUUGACUCUUAAUCAGUAGUAGAUCUUAAGUCUAAAUUGUUGAAGAGUUCGGCCUCAAGAAUGUAAAAUGAGUACAAUUACAAGCAAAUUGUACAAUGGAUUAUAAUGUGGGAUUGUCAUGGGUUUAGCUGCACAGUGGAAUGUUGAUCUGAUUAACUACAGAGGAACUAAAGAGUGUGGCUGGCUUGUGUGUUUGAGACUGGGGCCUGGGGGACUGGUGUCUUGGUCCUGGGGGCUUCCCCUCUCUCAACCUGAGAGAGGAGACUGAAGCACUGAGAGAGGCUUACUGGAGCAUGGGGGCGACGUGGACUCACUCCGGGACCACAGGGACCAGCUGGAGAGCAUGCUCUGACACACACAGGACCAGCUGCACAGGGUGACCGAGGAGAAGGCCCGACUGAAAUGUAAACUCAGGAAGCAGGGAGAAACGGGGGGCCUGUGAGGCGGAGCGGGGGUGCUAGCUAGGAGGGAAAAGCAUGACAGGAAAUGCCCAGGAAAACAGGGUGCCAAUUCAUAACCUAAUUCCCCAGGUUAGCAGAAAGCUUACCACAACUCCAACCCAGAAUAAUACUACCCUAGUCUUAGCCGAUAAUGACCUAACCCUGUAUGCCUUAGCCCUGGAUGACCUAGCUCUAGCUUUGAACCAGGAGAACCAAGGCAUAGGGCAGGCGUAUCAAGGAGCUCCUGCCCCACAUAUAGAGCCGGGAUAGUAAGGAUAGUGAGAGGAAGCUAGAGAGGGAGAGCUGGAGCAGGAGAACCAGGAGCAGGGAGGUCUUAUAACCGAGCUAACCAGGAAGACCGAGGAUGACCUCAACACUAUCAUGGAGCUGCAGCAGAGACUGACUGAGAGCGGUCAGCUUGGUCUACAACAGGGUGACCAUGGUUUGAGUCAGAGUGUGGUCAAAAGGGUGAGCAUGCGGUCGGGUCAGUGUUCGCUCAACAGGGUCAACCCUCGGUAGGGUUCGUGACCAGUCUACAAGGUGAUCACACGCCAGGGUCGGUGAAUAGUGGUGAACUACAGGUUGACCACACGACCGAGUCAGUUAGGGAUCAAAAGGACAGCCAUUUGACCACAGAGUUAGUGUCCAUGCUGAGAGAGGAGAGCGGCGAGCGAAUUGGGUCUCAGUGAUCUCAAAGGGGGAAGGGAACAGGUUUCCCCUCUCACUCAGGUGUCAGACAGGGAAACACCGGCCAACGAGCUCCGUGUGGGUUCUGGAAGAAGAACGCGACCGGGUCAAUCAGGAACUCUGCGGUUUAAAAGAAGAGCAAGUACAGUUUACAAGGUCUGAAAGAUAAGAGACAAGGUGGUAUGGUCAAUGUGUGGUUUAAAAGAGGAGAGUGACCAGCUAGUUCCGUCAAGGUCUGGACUCCAGGAGGAGAGAGACCAGCUAGUUCAGUCAAUGUCUGUUUUCUACAAGGAGAGAGACCAGCUAGUUCCGUCCAAUGUCUGGUUUCUACAAGGAGAGAGACCUUCUAGUUCAGUCCAAUGUCUGGUUUCCAGGAGGAGAGAGACGAGCUCUCGCAGUCUCUCUUCAGUCAAGAAGAUGAGAGACCAACCUAACGAGUCACUCCACAAUCUAGAAGAGGAGCGAGACCAGUUGAUGCAAUCCAUGUGGGGUUUAAAGGGACAGAGAGACUAGCUAACACAGACACUCAGCCUUCUGGAGCAGGAGCGAGACAAACUGCCUUCAAACAGAAGACAGAGACCCGGUCAACCAGUUUAAAGAAGAGCGAGAGCAGUUGGUUCAGUCAAUGGCUGUUCUGUGCGAACAGAGAGAGCAUCUCACAGCCGAGAGAGAGACCAGUUGCAGAUGGACGUCGCUCCUUUACGGAAUCAGCUACUGUCACAGGGGCGGAGUCACGACCAGCGGGUACUCUGAGAACCACGUUGGCGUGGCAACACACAUAGAGGGUGUGGCUACAGAGAGCGGGGUCGCUGCGCCAAAAUACGGAUGAUGACGUCGUUCAGAGAAGUCUGGCCACGGUCUACUCCUACAAGACCAUCCGCCUGGGGCAGUCUGCACAGGGAACACUUGGAAGAGGUGACAGGUGGAACAGAGUGAACUGAUGGAGGAGAUCAAGUCGUUGGGGGCAGAACACAGAAGGUCACGAGACGAACUGGAGAAGAACCAAUUGGAGGAUCUCCCUUCCAAGACCAGACACCAGGUUUACUCCAGUCCCCCACCAGGUCAGGGAAACUAUCCAGGUUACCCCAAACCUUGCUGCCCUCAACCGACCCAAGCAUACCCCCAUAACAGCUACCCUUCUACUACUACUACUACUGCCCCUGCUCGGACUGUUAAAGCACGAAGUACCACUACCUCGUUGCAAACUGCCCCUCCAACAAUUACCCUUCAAACUACAGCCCUCACUAAAGCUGCCCCCUCCACCUCUGCUCUGCCCCCCACUGAGAGGACAUGACUGCCUGAUGAGGACCAUUGUGUCAAGAAGCUCCUCUCCGACUGCCAACCUGAACAAGCUAAAGCAACCAAACCCAGAGCUGAGCCGGAACCUCCAGCUGAGGUGGGCUCUGUUGAGGUCAUCGGGAUGGUGGGACAGAGCAGCCUCAUGAUUGGCUGGAUGAGCUGGGCUGCAGCAACGGAACCUUUAUUGGUUCCACCCAACCAGUGAAUUCUACAGACAUGCAUGUGUACUUGUACACUCAGUUUACCACCCUGGUGAGAGCAGAGGUCGGACUAGCUGGCCAAUCAGAGGCUAGAAGCAGUGCAUGCACAAGGGUGAGGGUGCAUGGCUAUCACCCGAUUGACCAGGACCGCAGCCUGGUGACCUCUCACAUGAGUGGGGAGAAUAGAUUUUCAACCGCACUGUCCAGUUGAAACCUUUCUCACCAGAUUCAGAAGCUCAAACGGUAAUGCUACAGUCCUCUGGUGGACAGCCCUAAACUCCACCCUAGGAGAGCUGGCCCAGAGAGAGGGAGAUACUGUCAUGUUGCUAGGCAACCCCCGCAACGACGGCUUCUGUGAGGCCGAGGUGAAUGGCAGACUAGGUCUGACUCCUGUUGCCUUCCUAGAGGAAGUUAUUGAUCCAGACAGAAAUGUAAGCCCCGAAGGAAGAGAUGAUAGGCCACUGUGACUGCCAAUCAGAGAGAGGGCAAGAUGAUAGGCCACUGUGACUGCCAAUCAGAGAGAGGACAAGAUGAUGAGCCACUGUGACUGCCAAUCAAAUGAUGCUUCCCUACAGAGAGAUUAUAGUGGCCAACAUUCAUGACGUCAUCAAACGCUGCCUGCCCGUGACAAAAACAUUCAUAUGUGCUCACAGCCUAAAGUCAUCUGAAAUGGAAAGCUACACUAAAGCACUAGCCGAAAUGUGGGUGUGUUUGUGUGUAUGGCCCAGUUUGACAUUGUGCUUCUCUAAACGGAUGCUUUUAACCUACAUCCUGCUCAUUGAGAUUGUGUCAAAUCACCUCUGUUCUUCAAAAUCCCCCGCUUUUCUGUGUCUAAUCUCUCGUGGACAGACACACUUAACUGGUAUCCUAGUGUCUGUCAGCAGGCUGUGGGAUGCGACGACUAACGAGGAACUUUGAUUCCGGUGCACAGAUUUUUCGUCGCUGAUUAUUUUGGACAAAUCACGAUUUUACCGCCUUCCAUUUUUGGAAGAGGACGGGAUAUUUGGACCAUGGACUUGCCUGUAAAUUGCAACUGGAGAGGAGUUAACGGCCUGCGGCCCCUCCGCGUUCUAGUGUUUUUCUAACACAUCUGCCCCCAGAACAUAAUCAAGCGUCUG